AGGAAAUGAAGCUUUCUCAUGAAUGGACCCCACAUAAGUUGGUUCAGCUAAGAUUCACAGUCUAAUUUAAAAGCUUCUCUGCCUAUGGGAUGGGACAUAUCUCCUGUACGAUUUUACCAAUAAGAGUUUUGUAGGUCUUCAUCUAUCAGAUUUGUAGUUCAUUUAUAUAUACAAUAUUAUCUAUAAGUGAUAUGCUAUUUUAUUUUUAUCCUAAAUUCUCUCUCUCUCUCUCUCUCUCUCUCUCUCUCUCUCUCUCUCUAGCUAUGUAUUCUAUAUAUAUACCAACAAAGUCCACAAGAAAUAGAAAGUAGCAAUAAUUUAAAUUUUGGUUUGUUGAAGCAAAAGCACAGGAAGAAGAUCAUGAUCAUGCCACUUAGAGAGAUCGAUGAGCACAAGAAUUCAACAGAAGCCGUGGCUGUGGAAGAGCCAUGCAUGUCCAGAGAGGCUGAUCUUCAUCAUCAGCUUCCAUGGAAAUGGAAUUAAGAAUGGUUAGACCUACGGCUUUCAGAUGAGUUCUACUGCUCUCAAUUAGCAAUAAAUACAAGGAGGCAACCAAAGCAAAAGGGGUUGAAGAAGAAGAUGUAACCCGGCAAGUCUGGUUCUUGGCUCAUGUUUACUUUUACUUUACUUGUUCGCUUCUUAAUUGUUUCUUUCUUCUGCUGUGCUGUUCUUCCCUCCCCCCAUAUGGGGAUCGAAACUCCGACUUUAUAUCUUGUUAUUAAUUUCAUUUAGUGGAACUAUGAAUUAGACCGUAUUAAUAACUUUGAGUUGUAAUUUGUUGUUAGCUUUUCCAGUGUAAUAAUUUCUUUUUUCUUUUACUAGUGGUCAUCGAUUCGUAUUUUGAAUGAUUUGCUUGCUUCUAUAAAACCCAGGUUAGAUUAAUGCUCUAUAUAAAUAAUAAUUUCCGG
This 908-nucleotide long non-coding RNA is filed under the name Prunus dulcis (almond). Its description in RNAcentral is "sRNA ncRNA". Lineage: Eukaryota; Viridiplantae; Streptophyta; Magnoliopsida; Rosales; Rosaceae. The record is from RNAcentral.